Linepithema humile (Argentine ant) is the source of this 334-nucleotide long non-coding RNA. RefSeq lists it as uncharacterized. NCBI's taxonomy places the organism in Eukaryota, Metazoa, Arthropoda, Insecta, Hymenoptera, Formicidae. The record is from RefSeq and is a predicted model, not a curated record.
AGCAAAUAGCCCAAUUAGAAUAAACAGAUUCGUUUCAAUUGUGGAAACAAAGAUAUACAAGCAGUCAAAGUUAGAAUUGAACUUCAAUCAAAUGAACGGAGCAAAAUCAUAAAUUAAUCGCGCAUGGUGUCCACUUACAACAACUGAAAUUGAGGAAGAAGCAAGUACGAUGCGUGGAAGUGAUGACAUAGCCAUUGUUAUCUUGCUUGACGGCAUAAUGCCCGUGCGCUAUGUUACGGAUCAUCGAUAGAUAAAAUUUUGCACUUACCGCUACGAAGAAUCACCUGAUUGGCUUAGUACGUGUACUUCCGGUCUUAUCAGUUCGAAUCGAGGG